UACGUAGGGGGCGAGCGUUGUCCGGAGUUACUGGGCGUAAAGGGCAUGCAGGCGGUCGGACGCGUUUCGGGUGACAGCGGGUGGCUUAACUACCCGAGUGGUCGAAAGACGGUUUGACUUGAGGACGCGAGAGGGACACGGAAUUCCGGGUGGAGUGGUGAAAUGCGUAGAGAUCCGGAGGAACACCAGUGGCGAAGGCGGCCGCCUGGACCUGACCUGACGCUGAGGCGCGAAGGCGUGGGGAGCGAACGGG
Molecule: ribosomal RNA, 253 nt
Filed under: uncultured bacterium
Lineage: Bacteria
Description: partial 16S ribosomal RNA
Rfam family: Bacterial small subunit ribosomal RNA
Source: RNAcentral